UGUGUUUUUCUGUCAAAGUGAUGGCCUGGCUUUCUCAUCUGUGAAGCUGCAUUGUUUUGCUAACAUGUAUCUGUCACACUUGAUUUAAUGUCCUUGGAUUUUGUAGACGUGUAAAUCAACCACUGUGUAAGUUGACACUGUGCUGAACCUUCACCUUUCUUAAUGUAGAUGGAAAUGGAAGAAAAGGGAGGGGAGGUAGAGGAACAUCUUGGGUUUUCUAAGGUCUUGUCUGACCUGCUGUUGAUGUGUCAGGUCAGGCAAAUGCUCUAUUUACAUCAACCUCUAUCUCUGAUGGCGUACAGCAAUGGGAAGAGUCUUAGAGGGCAAAUGCAGUGAUACUUAUCCUAAAUUAUUGGCUCCAUCAAUCUCUAGCAUGAGACAAAGAUGGCAUAUUUUGCAUUGAAUACCCAUGAUGGAGUUUUCUUCUGAGCUUAUUCAGCCAUUUCUGAACCAUCCUGUAUUUCUCAUUUCCACAGUUUGCUGCUGGUGGCAAGGAGCGCUUGAGUUGGAUAAUGUGAGCCCUUUCCUCCAACUGAAAGAACAGAGGCAGCUCCCUCUAAUUUUCCUUUUCUCCAAGCUGUAGAAAUUUUGUGGUGCUCCUAUGAACUAAAUAAUUUCCAGCUGUUACAAUCUCUUCUUUUUCCUCUUCAGCUUGCUGCUUUUAGGUUGUUCUGUUGUCAUGAUUUUUGCUUUUUUUCUUCCAGUUUUUAUAUUUGCUGAUUUCCUAAGCUGUGUAAGCAGAUUUGCUGAUGAUUACACAGCAAGAAAAAAUGUAAGGAGCGCAUUUUCCCCUCCAUCUGUUCUAUGUGCUUUCAUAAAGCACAACCUGAAAGGAGAUCUGCCUCUGCUUCUGCCUCUCUCCCUGCCUCUCUGCCACAAAAGUUUGCAGAGCAGAACCUCCUUUUGGAAAACAUCUUCAUGUAACAGUGUGGCCAGGUUCUUCCUUGCCAUCAUUUGGUUUGCAGGGCUUUCACAGAGCAGAACGAAGUCAGAGCUGGGCCCGAGGAACAAACCUUUGCAGUGAGGUUCUCAGAGGCCCCAGGGACCUUGUCCUCUUCUGGGCUCCUCAGCGCAAAAGAGAGCUGGGCAUCCUGGUUAGAGUCCUUCAGAGAGCCACCAAUAUGAUGUAGGGACUGGAGCAUCUCUCCUAUGAGGAGAGGCUGAGAGAGAGACUUCUCAGCCUGGAGAAGAGGACCCAAGGAAGACUCUGCAUGACUUCGUGCAGUUGUUCAGGUACAGAAGAGCUGCCUGUUACAGGCAAUUUGACACGAUACAAAUGCAAACCUUAUUGUGAAGGCAGGCAGCAAAUCAGCUUUUGAUCAGCUAUGAGAUCAACUCCUGCUUGAUGCUGAGCUAUUCUGAUAACUUGAGCUGAUUCCUGUAAGCCAUUUUUCAAGCUUUCUUCCCUACUUGAUGAUCAAAUAUAGUGGAGUGUAUAAU
Molecule: long non-coding RNA, 1440 nt
Filed under: Gallus gallus (chicken)
Lineage: Eukaryota; Metazoa; Chordata; Aves; Galliformes; Phasianidae
Description: lncRNA (ENSGALG00010007338.1)
Source: RNAcentral